Molecule: ribosomal RNA, 497 nt
Filed under: uncultured bacterium
Lineage: Bacteria
Description: partial 16S ribosomal RNA
Rfam family: Bacterial small subunit ribosomal RNA
Source: RNAcentral
GAUGAACGCUGGCGGCGUGCCUAAUACAUGCAAGUCGAGCGAACAGACGAGGAGCUUGCUCCUCUGACGUUAGCGGCGGACGGGUGAGUAACACGUGGAUAACCUACCUAUAAGACUGGGAUAACUUCGGGAAACCGGAGCUAAUACCGGAUAAUAUAUUGAACCGCAUGGUUCAAUAGUGAAAGACGGUUUUGCUGUCACUUAUAGAUGGAUCCGCGCCGCAUUAGCUAGUUGGUAAGGUAACGGCUUACCAAGGCAACGAUGCGUAGCCGACCUGAGAGGGUGAUCGGCCACACUGGAGCUGAGACACGGUCCAGACUCCUACGGGAGGCAGCAGUAGGGAAUCUUCCGCAAUGGGCGAAAGCCUGACGGAGCAGCGCCGCGUGAGUGAUGAAGGUCUUCGGAUCGUAAAACUCUGUUAUUAGGGAAGAACAAAUGUGUAAGUAACUAUGCACGUCUUGACGGUACCUAAUCAGAAAGCCACGGCUAACUACGUG